AAAUAAAACUGGGCCUUUAUUAAAACUAGCUCCUUUAAAACAACUAAAAAUUACACAAAUACACAACUUAUGUUUCCAAUAUUACAAAAAUCCUAACUCCAUAAACAUAUUACAAAAAUCUCAACAUAUACACAGAAUGUUACGUAUAUGUCGGCUAUGUUAUGUAUAUUAAUAGGGAGAGAAGGUAAAUUAAAAAAGUGGGAGAGAGUAAUUACUUCCAAAAGGGUUGUUAUUUAUGUUAUUUAUACUUAAACAAUUAGCUGAGCUUUUCUUUUGGCCCAUUAAGAGCCCAUUUCUUUUAAAAAACAAACCCUUCUCCAUGACACGUAUUGGUGGGCCCUUGCCAGCUAUUUUAUUUGAAAUGGGUACCUGAACUGAAGAACCCACGUGCCUCUCUCUAUCAAAGCAGAACCUAUUCUCUUUAACUGUGUAGGGUUUUUUGCCCGGUGGUCCUUAACCUGCAGAACUUCCUCCUCUCCGGCGACCACCAUAGUUCUAGACUCGCUCCAUAUCGGAAUUAAAAAAGUAAGACCAUUGUCGACUAUCUUUACCUCUUUUGGAACUUCUUUUCCAUCUCCUUUGAUUCUCAUUCGCGCCCACUUCAAAUGGUGGUUUUUCAGGGAUGCCUCUUCCUCUGUUUCCAACCAUCCUCCACAAUGAUCUCCGAUGCUUUGAACAUUUUUUUGGUCCAAAACUGAAGAGGAAGACCUACUGCUCUUAUCCACGUUGAGGCCUCUCGAUUGGUGCGACAGCCUACUGUCGGCGACCACUAUUCGAGAUGACUCUUCGUUUGCUUCCAUGCCCACUGACUUUGAAGAAUAUGCUCGGCCAUAUGCUUGUUUGGAAACUCAAACAGAAAAGAACAGCCCCCCAUUUCGUAUACAUUAAUCCCAAAAGCAUUCUUCCAAGUACUCACCUCCCACUUCCUAAUAUCUGACAGUGUUGGUUUCUCCUUCUCUUCUCCACUGAAGCUUCCAACAAUACAUCUUCCCCGCAAGCCAUUUUCUUUUUCCUGGUUAACAUCACCGCCAGAGAUGAUGAUAGAGAUGUUGUUGUUGCUGACCAGAGAUUCAGAGGCUUCUUUUGAUUGCCAUUUGCUAGUCCUGAAUGAAUCUGCACAAGGAACCUUUGGAUCAAUCCUCCUAGCAAUAUUUGUAUUAAAUGUUCCUUUAUGUUUUUUGGCGAAUUAUCAAUCUUAAAUGCUAUGUCUCCCCAUCCUGCAUUAAAUGUAACUUCUGGGAUAAUAAUGACCGAUCUGUUCCCUCCUUGUACUGUCACUAUGCUUAUAAAUCUUCCAAAUUUGUUGUGUUUUCUGGAACAAAAGAAAUUUGAAUAUUGUUCAUUUGUUUUCCACCUUCUCGUAUGGUUGCUAGAGUCUUUUGAGGCUUCUCGUAAUACAAAGACUAUCCAUUCCAUUGUUUUCUUGCUGAAAGUUGUUCUGCGCAUCAGAUUCCGGCUUCUUUCAACCCAUUCAAACCAAAUUUCAGCUCUGGCUGCAAGCCUGGUGAUAUCGUAAGACUUAAAACCAACUGCGAAGUAGAUUCUAUUUUCCCCCAUAAAAGCUGCGCUGUUUUUAAAUAAUCACUGAGAGCUAGUUAAGAUUAGCAAAACGAACGGAAAAGGACGCCGGAAUAAAACUUCAGAUCACCUGAGGAAAAGAGUUACCCCCUCCCCCUCGAGAAAUGUACUUGAACAUCUACUGGAAUCUGACUCUGGAAUAUUAAAAGAAGUAUUGAGCCAUCUGACUCUGGAAUAGACCCCAAAGCAACCAAAAAAAACCCAUAGUUUCUCAGGAACGGGUAAAUAUAAACUGGUUCAUUCCUUUUCAAUAAAGAAAGAAUCAGGUUUAUUAAAUCUUUUUUGUGUUCAACAGCCAAUAUUUCAACAGAUAAAUGGCAGGCUCCAGUCAACAGUCGAAAUGAUAAAAACUUGACAA
Molecule: long non-coding RNA, 1936 nt
Filed under: Capsicum annuum
Lineage: Eukaryota; Viridiplantae; Streptophyta; Magnoliopsida; Solanales; Solanaceae
Description: long non-coding RNA (CANN_LNC006356)
Source: RNAcentral